This 282-nucleotide ribosomal RNA is filed under the name Faecalibacterium prausnitzii. RNAcentral describes it as "partial 16S ribosomal RNA". It matches the Rfam family "Bacterial small subunit ribosomal RNA", at positions 524 to 805 of the family's 1533-position model. Lineage: Bacteria; Bacillati; Bacillota; Clostridia; Eubacteriales; Oscillospiraceae. The record is from RNAcentral.
AACGUAGGUCACAAGCGUUGUCCGGAAUUACUGGGUGUAAAGGGAGCGCAGGCGGGAAGACAAGUUGGAAGUGAAAUCUAUGGGCUCAACCCAUAAACUGCUUUCAAAACUGUUUUUCUUGAGUAGUGCAGAGGUAGGCGGAAUUCCCGGUGUAGCGGUGGAAUGCGUAGAUAUCGGGAGGAACACCAGUGGCGAAGGCGGCCUACUGGGCACCAACUGACGCUGAGGCUCGAAAGUGUGGGUAGCAAACAGGAUUAGAAACCCCGGUAGUGCUGACUGACU